GACGAACGCUGGCGGCGUGCUUUAUGCAUGCAAGUCGAACGCGAAAGCCCCUUCGGGGGUGAGUAGAGUGGCGAACGGGUGAGUAACACGUGGGUAACCUGCCCCUCGCAGGGGGAUAACCGGGGGAAACCCCGGCUAAUACCCCGUACGCUUGCUGGGGCGCAUGCUCCGGCAAGGAAAGGUAGCUUCGGCCAUCCGGCGAGGGAGGGGCCCGCGGCCCAUUAGCUAGUUGGUGGGGUAACGGCCCACCAAGGCGACGAUGGGUAGCUGGCCUGAGAGGGUGGUCAGCCACACUGGGAAUGAGACACGGCCCAGACUCCUACGGGAGGCAGCAGCCAGGAAUCUUGCGCAAUGGGCGAAAGCCUGACGCAGCAACGCCGCGUGGGCGAUGAAGGCCUUCGGGUCGUAAAGCCCUGUUGUCGGGGACGAAGGGCGAAGGGUUAAUAGCCCCUAGCCUGACGGUACCCGACGAGGAAGCCCCGGCUAACUACGUG
Molecule: ribosomal RNA, 494 nt
Filed under: uncultured bacterium
Lineage: Bacteria
Description: partial 16S ribosomal RNA
Rfam family: Bacterial small subunit ribosomal RNA
Source: RNAcentral